This is a long non-coding RNA of Herpailurus yagouaroundi (jaguarundi), 120 nucleotides long. RefSeq lists it as uncharacterized. The record is from RefSeq and is a predicted model, not a curated record. NCBI's taxonomy places the organism in Eukaryota, Metazoa, Chordata, Mammalia, Carnivora, Felidae. The transcript is spliced from 3 exons.
GCUCUUCUGAUCUGUUUAUUUUUGCUUUUCUUGCCCUUGUGUGAGGAAAGUGACCCCAAAAUAUAUUGCUAAGAUCAGUGUCAGGGAAGUUACCGCCUAUGUUUACUUCUAGAACUUUCA